Molecule: long non-coding RNA, 1173 nt
Filed under: Naja naja (Indian cobra)
Lineage: Eukaryota; Metazoa; Chordata; Lepidosauria; Squamata; Elapidae
Description: lncRNA (ENSNNAG00000018151.1)
Source: RNAcentral
UGCCAGUCAGUUCUCCUUUUAAUUGAUGAAGAUGAUGAUGCAUCUGACAUAAUCCUUCCAAUAUGGCUGGGGAUGAUGUUUGGAUUUGCCGAGGUCUAACUAAGCCUCUUUCAUCUUUGACCUUGGAUGGAGUGGCACUUCCACAUUUGAGGCAUCCCAAAUUGCUUUGGCUUUGGAAAUUCCCAGACUGAUUCAGAAACUUUAUCCGGCUCAGCGGAUGACCUCAAGCCAGGUUGGGCGGCAUGCUUCUUGCAACGCUGAUGUGUCCUUUUGAAAGAUGUAUGGACAACCAGGAAACAAACAGAAAUAAUUACGAUGGAUCGAUGGUGUGCUGUGAAGUCAUUUUCAGCUCUUGGCAACCACCAGGGAAGAUGGAGGCACCUACACAAGCAGUCCUUGACUUACAAACAUUCACUUAGCAACCAUUCUAAGUUUCAACAGGAUUGAAACAAGUGACUCAUAUGACCUAUCCUUGCAUUUAUGACUGUCAUAGCAUUUGUAUGCUCACGUGAUCAAAAGCUGGGCGUUUGGCAACCUGCAUGAAUUUACAAUGGUUGCAGUAACUCAAGCUUGUGUGAUCCCCACUUGUGACCUUCCUGCCUGCCUUCUGACAAGCCAAGCCCAUGGGGAAGUCACCUUCACUUCAUGACUGCAUGUAGUGAUUCACUUAACAACUGUGGAAAAAAUAUCGUAAAAUUGAACUUAUUUAACAAUCAUGAGCCAUGGUGAUGCAGUGGUUAGAGUGCAGUACUGCAGGCUACUUCUACUGAUUGCUGACUGCCUGCAAUUUGGCAGUUUGAAUCUUACCAGGCUCAAGGUUGACUCAGACUUCUGUCCUUCCGAGUUGGUAAAAUGAGGACCCAAAUUGUUGGGAGCAAUAGGCUGAGUCUGUAAACUGCUUAGAGAGGGCUGUAAAGCACUGUGAAGCGGUAUAUAAGUCUAAGUGCUAAGGGCGAUUAAGAAUUGUGGUGGCACAGUGGUUAGAAUGAAGAAUAGCAGGCAAUUCUGCCCACUGCCAGGAGUUUGAUCCUGACCGGCUCAAGGUUGACUCAGCCUUCCGUCCUUCCGAGGUGGGUAAAAUGAGGACCUAGAUUGUUGGGGGCAAGAGGCUGACUCUGUAAACCGCUUAGAGAGGUCUGGAAAGCACUGGGAAGUGGUAUACAAAUCUAAGCU